GCAAGUCGAACGAGACCUUCGGGUCUAGUGGCGCACGGGUGCGUAACGCGUAUGCAACCUACCCUUAACAGGGGGAUAGCCCGGAGAAAUUCGGAUUAAUACCCCAUAGUAUCACAAGAUGGCAUCUGAAAGUGAUUAAAGAUUUAUCGGUUAAGGAUGGGCAUGCGUAACAUUAGAUAGUUGGUGAGGUAACGGCUCACCAAGUCAGCGAUGUUUAGGGGUUCUGAGAGGAUGAUC
This 237-nucleotide ribosomal RNA is filed under the name uncultured bacterium. Its description in RNAcentral is "partial 16S ribosomal RNA". It matches the Rfam family "Bacterial small subunit ribosomal RNA", at positions 57 to 305 of the family's 1533-position model. The record is from RNAcentral.